GGCUACCUUACAGUUUCAGAGGUUCGGUCUAUUAUGAUCAUGAAGCGAGUAUAGAAAGAGGCGGUAUAAGAAAGCCACCCAUGUACACCUCAGCCCAGGCCACUGUGCCUGGUCUGUAUUGUGAAUGGGGAGACAUGG
This is a small nucleolar RNA of Alexandromys fortis (reed vole), 138 nucleotides long. RefSeq annotates it as small nucleolar RNA SNORA51. The transcript has a single exon. The record is from RefSeq and is a predicted model, not a curated record. Lineage: Eukaryota; Metazoa; Chordata; Mammalia; Rodentia; Cricetidae.